CAAAAUUUCUCCUCCGCUCUGCCUCCCAAAUUCACAUCCCGCUUCACACAUUCUCUGCCUCAAUUCUCUUCCGAUGUAAGUGUAACUAUGGUAAACUUGGUGUGAGGACUUUAUUUGUAUAAAAUUGUGCGGCUUUUCACAAUUUCAAAGUUCAACAGGAAGUGUCAAGGAUGAAACCAUUCCUUUUCUUGAUAGUUUGAAAUCAAUGUUGGUGUGGACGACGUCAGAUCUACUCUAUAAGGGGACACACAACCAAUAAAGUGGGUAAUGCGGUUCAGAGUGGCAUUGUAUAUUGCACAAGCUCUUGAAAAUUGUACAGGCAAAGGACGUGCUCUUUAUCAUGAUUUAAUCCUUAUAGAAUAUUAUUCAGAGAAGAUGGUGAUCCCCGAUUCUCUUGCUUUGGUUUGAUGAAGAACAAUCGAGAUGGAAAAAGUUACAGCACAAACUUGACAUUUACCUCUC
This is a long non-coding RNA of Solanum stenotomum, 462 nucleotides long. RefSeq lists it as uncharacterized. NCBI's taxonomy places the organism in Eukaryota, Viridiplantae, Streptophyta, Magnoliopsida, Solanales, Solanaceae. The record is from RefSeq and is a predicted model, not a curated record. The transcript has 3 exons.